Molecule: long non-coding RNA, 2698 nt
Organism: Triticum urartu
Lineage: Eukaryota; Viridiplantae; Streptophyta; Magnoliopsida; Poales; Poaceae
Source: RefSeq, a predicted model, not a curated record
CCGCAAACUCUCUGGCUCCACCCCAUCACAAACCCCUCUCUGUCUCCCCCCUCCCCCCUUCCAGAUCGCCGCCGCCGCCACCUCCCCAUCAGCUCCACCAGCGAGCCCUUCCUCACCGCAUCCAUGGCCUCUCCAUGCCCUUCCUCACCGCAUCGCCACCCAGAGCCCCUCCCUUCCCCACUGCAUCGCCACCCUAAGCCACCUCCUUCACUAACCCUAUACCCGUACCUCAACCUGCACCGCAACCCGUCGGACCCCCCUUCUCCGUGGCGGUGUGCCUCCUUUCCUGAGUUCGCCAAGGACAGUGUCUGCCUCGUCAAGCGCAGCCACAAGCCUGACCGCAAGGAGUUCACCAAGGUGGCGACGUAGAUGGCAAUCGGGUUCGUCGUCAUGGGAUUCGACGGCUUCUUUGUCAAACUCAUCUUCAUCCCCAUCAACAACAUCAUCGUCGGGCACAGCUUCUCUGAUCUCGUCCGCGUCUCUGAUCUCAUCCACGACCGCGACCGCGACGGAAGUCUCCUCUGCUCGCCGGUACGGAUUCCCCCAACCCCUUCCUCCAGUCCUGGCCGGCCGGCCGAGGUUCCGAUCGGAUCCCCUCUCGCGCUUCGUCUCUUGGCGGCGGCUGCUGGCCAGCUCUCCCUCCUCUGUCUGCACCCCGUCCAGCUAGCCGACUAACUACUGGUGCCCUAUUGGCUCGCGCUCACGGGGCAAGCUACGUUCUGGUGCCUUGGACCAAACCCCAACUUCGUUUGUUCUACCUUGUGCCUGCUCAGGAUUCUAGCGGGCGUAUUAGUUUUGGCCUGUGGGAUUCUACCUUGUGCCUUGGACCAAACACCUUGCACAUGCUGCUGCUACCGCCUCCUGAAAUCAAUAGAGCUAGGCAGCCAGCUAAUCCUGUUUGGCGUGUGUAGUAGUAGUAGACGAGCAAAGAUCAUGCACUUGUAUUUCACUGUUAAAUUUGUGCAAAAGAUCUUGCCAUCUGUCCUUCAUAGUGAUGAAUGGUUGCCACCACCCUACGUAUAGGGGCACAUGCCAUUGUUCUUUAAUACCCUGUAAAAAGGGCUUUUCUUUCAUUGAUCAGUCUGAGUAGUGAAAAAUCAAAAUAGAGCUGCGACCAUAUGUUGUAAUGAAGUGGUCCGACUUGCUUCUUGGACAAGUCCUAAUUGAGAUCAUUCGUCCACCAAAUAAUUGCAUUGUACUGGUAUUCUCUCAAUCCAACCUGUGCAUACAUGUUGUAUUCAAGCUGGUCGUGGUUGAUUGAUUUGGUCAUAUGUUGCACUAGUAAUCUCAAACAUGUUGUUUCUAUUUUUGUCAAGUGAUAUGAGAUAAUUGAUUAUGCACAAUUUCCAUGGAUUCAAGCAAAGGGGAUGUAUAUCUUAAACAUUUGGUACAUCAUCUCUGUACUGUUGAACUGGUUACUUAUUGUUUAAUUUAUCAUGAUGUAGUUAGGAUAUUUAAGUAUCUAACAACAAAAACAUCAUGCACUCAAAACAUUGACUGGUAAGAAUAUAGUAUUUUUUAACUCUUUACUAUCAUCCUGUCAAAGCUUACACUUAAUUUUCUCCUUAUAAAGGUCAGAAAGGAAAAUAUAAAGAAAACCGGCACCAAUUUUUCAUUUCCUGGAACUGUUUCAGUACUGCUAGAGUCUAAUGCUUACACUAGUUUCAUUGGCGGAAAUAUUCAUCAUAUGAUAGCAACAUAGUGCAACGCUUAGCUCUUUACUACCUAGCAAUUGCCUGCACAAUUAAAUCAAUAUCUCCAUGAUUCUACAUAGAGUUGAUGAAAACUGUUGCUACAAAUGAUAGAAGCAAAAUGCAACGCCUAGCUCUUAACUACCUUAAUAUACUUGAUUCUUGAUCGGGAUUCUGAUAAUACCGAUGGAACGAAGUAUAGCUAUUAGUAGAUGCUAACUGUAAAAUCAUGUAAUUUCUAACUUUUGCCAUAUUGUUCAUUGAUGUUUGCGCCCUGUUAUUUCCGUACUGAAGGUAGGAUUUCUGUGUUAAACCUAGGCCUGUUGUUCUUUGUUUAUCUCCAUUGUUUCCCAGGUAGCUAGUUAUCUGUCUGAUUCCAUUUCCUGUCAAAAUCUGUUGUUCCACCAAUAGUUUUUACACAACACUUCUUGUAUCCAGUUUUGCUAUAAAUCUGUCAUGCAGGUGUAUGGAAGCACGAGAAGAGUGAUGGCCAUGAAGACUAUGGUCUCCUUGUUAGCGAGCCAGCCAGGAAAUAUGCCAUAGUCAAAGAGCUUGAUAGCCCUGUUACUUUGAAGGAUGGGACAGUUGUCCUGCGGUUCGAAGUGAGGCUUCAGAAUGGCCUCGAGUGUGGAGGUGGGCGGAGUCUAAAACUGCUUGUCGUUCCUGUGAUGAUGAAGAUGGAGUAGGAGGAUGAGCAGCAACAAUAAAUGAGCCUGUUGGUGAAGAAGCACAUGAUGACCAGAACUCGUUCAAGUGAUCUUUAGUCCUUCCAAAACAAGGAGCUCUAGGCCUAAUUUGUUUGGAGUGUGAAGCCAUGAAGCCAAGUGCGAAUCAGUGAAGCCCUACUUAGCACUGUAAAUUGUAAUAUUGUAACAGAUUGUAAAAGACUAAUGUAGUGUUAUUUGAUGAAUUAUAUUUUUCCCGUCCUAUUUCAAAAUAGUGAGUAUGUAUGUUAAAAAUAUGUGAAAUGGAAACUUGACCAGCGGGACCAAUUUAUGUCCCACUUA